RNAcentral lists this long non-coding RNA (1073 nucleotides) under Malus domestica (apple). RNAcentral describes it as "long non-coding RNA (MDOM_LNC003896)". Lineage: Eukaryota; Viridiplantae; Streptophyta; Magnoliopsida; Rosales; Rosaceae. The record is from RNAcentral.
CUGACUGUGACUGGGAAAGUUAACCCCGCCGGGCUUAAGGAGAAACUGGAGCAGAAGAUUAAGAAGAAGAUCGACCUGGUCUCUCCUCAGCCCAAAAAAGAUGGCGGUGGCGGUGGUGGAGACAAGAAACCUGCCGCAGAGGGAAAGGCUGAGAAAAAGGAUGAUGAGAAAAAAGCCAGCUGAUGAGAAAAAGCCGGCUGAAGACAAAAAGCCCAUAGAGGCACCCAAAGAGGUAAUUUAUUGACAUUCAUGUAUAUAGUGAAUUAGCUAUGUAAAUCGCUCGGAACAGCUCGAAAUUAUACGUUCUUUAUAUAUUAAUUUUGUUGCUAAAUUUGUUUCUUUUUUGUUGGGUGGUUUCUGGUUUCAGAAUUCUGUGGUGCUGAAGAUCAGAUUACAUUGUGAGGGUUGCAUGCACAAGAUGAAGAGUAAAAUCUCCAAGUUUAAAGGUUAAUUCCAAUCGAUUCUCGUACUUUCCAUGACUUGAAGAAUAUAAUAUAGAAUUUGGAUUAUAUUAAUUUAAUCAGAAUGAUGCACGCACACCACUGGCACCACGCUAUUAAACUAAUAAUAUUUUAGCAGAUUUUGUAAAAAGACUAAUCUAGACUAAUCUAGAUUAAUAGAAAAUUAAGUCAUAACGAUACUUUCAUAGAGUAAAAAUUAAGUAUGAGACUGUAAAUUUGAAUGCUGAAUAUUCAAACCGGCUAAAAGCAUUCGAGCGUUUUUACAAUAUUUGUUUUUUAUGAUGCAUGUGCUUGACGUUAUAAAGAUUUUAAAGACCCCUUGUGAUAAAUUUUAAAUGUUUUUGUAAAGUUUAUAUUUUCUUUACCAAAAGUUGUAAAUAUUCAUGGGCAAAUUUGUCAUUCUAUUAUCUAACAAAGAAGUGCAUUAUGGUGUUCACAGGUGUUAACAGUGUGAGCUUUGAUGCACCCAAAGACCUGGUAAUGGUGAAGGGAUUCAUGGAUGUAAAAGAACUUGUACCCUACCUCAAAGAGAAGUUCCGGAGGGCCGUGGAAGUGGUCCCACCCAAGAAAGAUGACGGCGGAGCUGCCGACAAGAAGUCAAAAGACGGCGGU